AAUCUUGGACAAUGGGGGAAACCCUGAUCUCGCAAUGCCGCGUGCAGUAUGAAGGCCAUCGGGAUGUAAACUGCUUUUGUCCGUAACGAAAAUGCUUGGGCUAAUCCCCUGGGAUCAUGACGGUACCGUAAGAUUAAGCACCGGCGAACGACGUGCCAGCAGCCGCGGUAAUACGUAGGGACCAAGCUGUAAUCAGAAGUACUGGGCGUACAGCGUGCGCAGGUGGUUUUGUAAGACAGUGGUGAAAUCCCCGGGCUCAACCUGGGAACUAACAUUGUGACUGCAAGGCUGGAGUGCGGCAGAGGGGGAUGGAAUUCCGCGUGUAGCAGUGAAAUGCGUAGAUAUGCGGAGGAACACCGAUGGCGAAGGCAAUCCCCUGGGCCUGCACUGACGGUCAUGCACGAAAGCGUGGGGAGCAAACAGG
Molecule: ribosomal RNA, 424 nt
Filed under: uncultured bacterium
Lineage: Bacteria
Description: partial 16S ribosomal RNA
Rfam family: Bacterial small subunit ribosomal RNA
Source: RNAcentral